Molecule: long non-coding RNA, 871 nt
Filed under: Olea europaea subsp. europaea
Lineage: Eukaryota; Viridiplantae; Streptophyta; Magnoliopsida; Lamiales; Oleaceae
Source: RNAcentral
UUUUGCUUGGCUCGGCCAAACCCGGCUCUAGCCCGAAAAAAAUCUCGACAAUUUUAACUGAGCCGAGCUCGAGCCUCAAGUUUCGACUCGACUUGUUGACAUCCCAAUGUAAAUCUCACUGUCAAUUGUGUUAUUCAACCUUCAAAUCCCAAAAUAAACUACAAAUAUUGAGAAUUAAUGUAUUUUAAUGUGUGAUUUUGCCUCAAGAUUGUAUCUCCGGUCGUAGGAUCCUUUUUUGACUUCUCCAAUGAUGCUGAACGAUCCAUCCCGUUUUGCAUCUAAUUUUUCAACUAGUGCGUCCCUCAGAUCCAAUCGCCUUCUGAAACCUCUUUUCUCGAACAUUCUGGUGAAGUAUCCGGUCGUCUUUAUCUUAGAUGGCACCAGCACCUCACUGGCUGGUUCUCUUGCAUUUGUGUGGUAAGCCCAUAACAUGUUAGGAAUCACAUCGGUUCAUUCAUGCACCCUUAUGUUUCUCCAGUCUGGUCUUAAAAUCCCAUAGGAUCUUCCAACUGGUUACCUUUAACUGUUCGUUUGCCCGAGGGUAGUGAUCAAGGUUUUCCAAGGUAGAUUUUUUAGCUCGAAGAAAACUCAUCGAAAUCGUAGAAAAUGAAUGGUGUUAUGUUAUCAACGAUAAUCAACCGACUGAUGCCGAAACUGAAUAUAAUAUUUCUCCAUAUGAAACUCAGAUUUUCUCGAUGGUGAUUGUCACUAACAGUUCUAGCCUUGUAAUGUAUUGUACUUGUUCGUUAAAAUUUCGCGAGCGCACAAAAUCAUUGAUAAGUAAUAAUUUUAGUGGGUUAAGAGUAUUGUUCUGCAGAGAAAAAAAUUCUAAUUCAAGUUUACUAAUCUUAUAUGGAAUUCGAAGUUUGUC